RNAcentral lists this ribosomal RNA (588 nucleotides) under uncultured bacterium. Its description in RNAcentral is "partial 16S ribosomal RNA". It matches the Rfam family "Bacterial small subunit ribosomal RNA", at positions 355 to 941 of the family's 1533-position model. The record is from RNAcentral.
UGGGGAAUUUUGGACAAUGGGGGCAACCCUGAUCCAGCAAUGCCGCGUGUGUGAAGAAGGCCUUCGGGUUGUAAAGCACUUUUGUCCGGAAAGAAAACGCCGUGGUUAAUACCCGUGGCGGAUGACGGUACCGGAAGAAUAAGCACCGGCUAACUACGUGCCAGCAGCCGCGGUAAUACGUAGGGUGCAAGCGUUAAUCGGAAUUACUGGGCGUAAAGCGUGCGCAGGCGGUCCGCUAAGACAGAUGUGAAAUCCCCGGGCUUAACCUGGGAACUGCAUUUGUGACUGGCGGGCUAGAGUAUGGCAGAGGGGGGUAGAAUUCCACGUGUAGCAGUGAAAUGCGUAGAGAUGUGGAGGAAUACCGAUGGCGAAGGCAGCCCCCUGGGCCAAUACUGACGCUCAUGCACGAAAGCGUGGGGAGCAAACAGGAUUAGAUACCCUGGUAGUCCACGCCCUAAACGAUGUCAACUAGUUGUCGGGUCUUCAUUGACUUGGUAACGUAGCUAACGCGUGAAGUUGACCGCCUGGGGAGUACGGUCGCAAGAUUAAAAACUCAAAGGAAUUGACGGGGGUCAUAGCUGUUUCCUG